AACGAACGCUGGCGGCGCGCCUAAUACAUGCAAGUCGAGCGAGAAGACGUAGCAAUACGUUUGUAAAGCGGCGAACGGGUGAGGAAUACAUGGGUAACCUACCCUCGAGUGGGGAAUAACUAGCCGAAAGGUUAGCUAAUACCGCGUACGCUCCUUGGACUUCGGUUCAGGGAGGAAAGCGAUACCGUGGGUAUCGCGCUCUUGGAUGGGCUCAUGUCCUAUCAGCUUGUUGGUGAGGUAACGGCUCACCAAGGCUUCGACGGGUAGCUGGUCUGAGAGGACGAUCAGCCACACUGGCACUGCGACACGGGCCAGACUCCUACGGGAGGCAGCAGUAAGGAAUAUUGCGCAAUGGGCGAAAGCCUGACGCAGCGACGCCGCGUGGGGGGAUGAAGGUCUUCGGAUUG
RNAcentral lists this ribosomal RNA (407 nucleotides) under uncultured bacterium. RNAcentral's name for it is "bacterial SSU rRNA". It matches the Rfam family "Bacterial small subunit ribosomal RNA", at positions 29 to 425 of the family's 1533-position model. The record is from RNAcentral.